This 1146-nucleotide ribosomal RNA is filed under the name Clostridium perfringens. RNAcentral's name for it is "partial 23S ribosomal RNA". It matches the Rfam family "Bacterial large subunit ribosomal RNA", at positions 417 to 1565 of the family's 2925-position model. The record is from RNAcentral. Lineage: Bacteria; Bacillati; Bacillota; Clostridia; Eubacteriales; Clostridiaceae.
ACGAGACACGUGAAACCUUGUGGGAAGCAGGGAGGACCACCUCCCAAGGCUAAAUACUACCUGAUGACCGAUAGUGAAGCAGUACCGUGAGGGAAAGGUGAAAAGAACCCCGGGAGGGGAGUGAAAUAGAACCUGAAACCGUGUGCCUACAACCGCUCAGAGCCCCUUAUGAGGGUGAUGAGGUGCUUUUUGUAGAACGAGCCAACGAGUUACGGUAUGUAGCAAGGUUAAGUACUUAAGGUACGGAGCCGAAGGGAAACCGAGUCUGAAUAGGGCGACUAGUUGCAUGCCGUAGACCCGAAACCGGGUGACCUAUCCAUGGCCAGGUUGAAGCGAGGGUAAAACCUCGUGGAGGACCGAACCACGUUGCUGUUGAAAAAGCAUGGGAUGAGCUGUGGAUAGCGGAGAAAUUCCAAUCGAACCCGGAGAUAGCUGGUUCUCUCCGAAAUAGCUUUAGGGCUAGCGUCGAGUAUGAGUAGUGGAGGUAGAGCACUGAAUGGGCUAGGGGGCAUAGCGCUUACCGAACCUUAUCAAACUCCGAAUGCCACAUACUUUGAGCUCGGCAGUCAGACUACGAAUGAUAAGAUCCGUGGUCAAAAGGGAAACAGCCCAGAUCGUCAGCUAAGGUCCCAAAGUGUAAGUUAAGUGGGAAAGGAUGUGAGAUUUCUAAGACAACUAGGAUGUUGGCUUAGAAGCAGCCAUUCAUUAAAAGAGUGCGUAAUAGCUCACUAGUCGAGAGAUCUUGCGCCGAAAAUGUAACGGGGCUAAACUUACCACCGAAGCUACGGGCUUGAACUUAGUUCAAGCGGUAGGAGAGCGUCGUAACCGGGCUGAAGUCGUACCGUAAGGAGCGGUGGACUGGUUACGAGUGAGAAUGUUGGCAUCAGUAGCGAGAUGUGGGUGAGAAUCCCACAGGCCGAAAACCUAAGGUUUCCUCAGGAAGGUUCGUCCGCUGAGGGUUAGUCGGGACCUAAGCCGAGGCCGAAAGGCGUAGGUGAUGGACAACUGGUUGAUAUUCCAGUACCACUACCAUCGUUAUUAUCGAUGGCGUGACGCAGGAGGAUAGUGUGUGCUAGCUAUUGGAUGCUAGUCUAAGCGUUUAGGCAGUGAGAGUAGGCAAAUCCGCUCUCAUAAUGCUGAGGCGUG